UCGAGGAUCUUCGUCAAUGGGCGCAAGCCUGAACGAGCGACGCCGCGUGCGCGAUGAAGGCCUUCGGGUUGUAAAGCGCGAAAGUGGAGAGAAAGGGAAACUUGAUCAAUCCACAGUAAGGACGGGCUAAGUUCGUGCCAGCAGCCGCGGUAAGACGAACUGUCCUAACGUUGUUCGGAAUCACUGGGCUUAAAGGGCGCGUAGGCGGUCCAACAAGUCGGGGGUGAAAUCCUGCAGCUCAACUGCAGAAGUGCCUUCGAUACUGUUGGUCUUGAGGGAAAUAGGGGUGUGCGGAACUUCCGGUGGAGCGGUGAAAUGCGUUGAUAUCGGAAGGAACGCCGGUGGCGAAAGCGGCGCACUGGAUUUCUUCUGACGCUGAGGCGCGAAAGCUAGGGGAGCAAACGGGAUUAGAUACCCGGGUAGUCC
RNAcentral lists this ribosomal RNA (426 nucleotides) under uncultured bacterium. Its description in RNAcentral is "bacterial SSU rRNA". It matches the Rfam family "Bacterial small subunit ribosomal RNA", at positions 355 to 796 of the family's 1533-position model. The record is from RNAcentral.